This is a non-coding RNA of Carica papaya (papaya), 428 nucleotides long. NCBI's taxonomy places the organism in Eukaryota, Viridiplantae, Streptophyta, Magnoliopsida, Brassicales, Caricaceae. The record is from RefSeq and is a predicted model, not a curated record.
UAUGUUAUACUGGUGCUCUUUUUGGUUAUCUAAAUGUUACGACGAGCUUCUAUUUUUAUCAAACAUAAAAAAAUACAGCAUAUAAGUUUGUGUUAUUUAAAUAACUCAACAGCUUAUUUUUUUUAAGAGAAGUAAUAGUUUAUAAGGUAUUAAAGUUGUUAUGAGCUAUAGUUAAGCCAAACAAUCUCUGACUUGAGUCUUUUUUUCUUUUGCACAUUUAUGCAGAUGGUGUUAUAGGCAUUGGAAUAGCUGCUACUGCCGUUGGACUGGUUGCUGGCGGGAUUGCAGCUGCUCUAGCAAGGAAGAACUGAUGCAGCCUUUAGGAUUCCUAGCAUACUCUGGCAUGGCUGCGGAGAAAACCUACUGUAUAUAUAUUUUCCAGUCUCUGCUCGUGUUUUCUUUCUACUCAUGCGUAGGUGAUUAUUUUC